AGCUCCAAUAGCGUAUAUUAAAGUUGUUGCAGUUAAAAAGCUCGUAGUUGGAUUUCUGGUUUGAGCAUCCGGUCGAGUUUAUCUCUGUACUAUGGAUGCUUGAGCCAUAUUUUGUGAGGAUGCCUUUCUGCCAUUGAGUUGGUGGCUGGGUAGACUUGCAUCGUUUACUGUGAAAAAAUUAGAGUGUUUAAAGCAGGCGUUUGCUCAUUUGAAUACAUUAGCAUGGAAUAAUAAGAUACGACCUUGGUCUAUUUUGUUGGUUUGCACACCGAGGUAAUGAUUAAUAGGGACAGUUGGGGGUAUUCAUAUUUCAACGUCAGAGGUGAAAUUCUUGGAUCGUUGAAAGAUGAGCUUAGGCGAAAGCAUUUACCAAGGAUGUUUUCAUUA
RNAcentral lists this ribosomal RNA (387 nucleotides) under uncultured Saprolegniaceae. Its description in RNAcentral is "SSU rRNA". It matches the Rfam family "Eukaryotic small subunit ribosomal RNA", at positions 587 to 975 of the family's 1831-position model. Lineage: Eukaryota; Oomycota; Saprolegniomycetes; Saprolegniales; Saprolegniaceae. The record is from RNAcentral.